AGGGGAACGAAACAGAGCCUUCUUCUGUGUUUGAAAAUGCUAGUGACACUAAAGGGGGCUGGUAAGCUUGAAUCCCACAAGUUUUUUUUUAUUGCAAAUAAGAAGAAGUAACAACAGUAGCAAGAAUGUUGUUCUAAUUUUAUUUCAAGGUUUCCUCCCAAGAAAUUUAAGAAGAGGAUUUCUAGAAUUUCUUCAAGAGAUUGAAUCGAGUUGAGCGCGUUGAAGAUUAUUGCAUGGUGUGGAAGGUUAGAGUAAGAUCCUACUCACUUUGGGGCUGACGGUGUGUGCUAGGCAUCUUCUCCAUCUUUCAGUUGCUUUUGGUGAGACCCAAUACUACUUCCGUGGGUUCAUUGCUAUUUUAGUACUUCUUUUGGAUGAGCCGGGGAUUUAUGUCUCGUGUACUUUCUUAGAGGUUCCAGGCACAGUUGUGGGAGGUCUAUGGGUGUUCAUGGGAACUAUCAUUUUAUCUUUUAUGUUAUGUUGUUAUUUUUAUUUCCGCUACUUAUGUAUUUUGGCCAUUGGCUCAACUUAUGUUUUGAAACUAGAAGGAUGCUUUGUCAUCGAUACUUAUUAUUUUUGGCAAAGUUUUAUUUUGAUUUAUCGAUAUGAGAGUUGGUAGCUAAAACAGGUGGUUCGCCCGGUGGAAGUUAAAGGCACUGGGUGCCAGUUGCGCUAGCCUUUUGGGGGCGUAACAACAACGUUGUUAGUUUUGAAACAUUUAACAGAUAGGAAAUCGCACGUUGGGAUGCAAUGCACCUAAACAGUUAAACGCUUC
Long non-coding RNA from Nicotiana tabacum (common tobacco), 775 nucleotides. RefSeq lists it as uncharacterized. The record is from RefSeq and is a predicted model, not a curated record. NCBI's taxonomy places the organism in Eukaryota, Viridiplantae, Streptophyta, Magnoliopsida, Solanales, Solanaceae.